Molecule: small RNA, 657 nt
Filed under: Arabidopsis thaliana (thale cress)
Lineage: Eukaryota; Viridiplantae; Streptophyta; Magnoliopsida; Brassicales; Brassicaceae
Description: ATSL202540
Source: RNAcentral
AAUUUGUUCCCCUGAAUCAUCGAGAUGAGACCACUCUUAAUCUCGAAGUUGUUGUUCUGGAUAGCAGGAGGUGCAAUUCCUUUCCUCUGACGGUGAUCACGUGGUGCAUCUUCAGCACCAAUGUUGGUAGGGCCAUUUUGUUGAUUCUGUUCUUCAGGCAUAUCGAGUGGUUGCUGAGAUACAGGGUUGACUGUGUUUCUCCUUUCUCUGAGUUCGCGAGCUAUGUGGUCGAUGUUGUCGUUGAAAAGGAGGUUCUGAUUGUCUGAUCGAGUUCGCAUACAGUAGAGGUGUACCUGGAUCAAGAAGACAACAAAAAAAACACACAGUUAGUAACCGAAAAGAAAAUUGAAAAAGAACUUGAUCUAAGCAAGUCUGAAAUCUCAAAUGUAACAAACAAACACCCAAUUGGCAACGGCGCCAAAUUGAUAAUAAGUUUUUAGUCAAUUAUCCUAAAACACCAAUCAUAUCGUUGUAGUAUUUUAGGUUGUCAAUCCAAAUGGGUGUGAUGCUAACAAUCAAGAUGUGAUCAGAAGUCACUAAGUCAAGCCAAGCAAUAACAGGGUUUGGUGUGUUCUAUCAGUUCUAAGUGAACAUGCAGAAAACAGAAAUUCAAGCAGAAACAAUAAAACACUCGACCAACACAGCUCUUUGUAGAGC